RNAcentral lists this ribosomal RNA (119 nucleotides) under Octopus bimaculoides (California two-spot octopus). Lineage: Eukaryota; Metazoa; Mollusca; Cephalopoda; Octopoda; Octopodidae. The record is from RNAcentral.
UAAUACGGCCAUAUCACGCUGGGAGCACCGGUUCUCGUCCGAUCACCGAAGUUAAGCAACGUCGAGCCUAGUGAGUACUUAGAUGGGUGACCGCUUGGGAAACCUAGGUGCUGUAAGCA